GACGAACGCUGGCGGCGUGCUUAACACAUGCAAGUCGAACGAUGAAGCUAGAGCUUGCUCUGGUGGAUUAGUGGCGAACGGGUGAGUAACACGUGAGUAACCUGCCCCGAACUCUGGGAUAACCGCUGGAAACGGUAGCUAAUACUGGAUACGACCAACGAAGGCAUCUUCUGUUGGUGGAAAGAAUUUCGGUUCGGGAUGGACUCGCGGCCUAUCAGCUUGUUGGUGAGGUACCGGCUCACCAAGGCGACGACGGGUAGCCGGCCUGAGAGGGUGAUCGGCCACACUGGGACUGAGACACGGCCCAGACUCCUACGGGAGGCAGCAGUGGGGAAUAUUGCACAAUGGGCGCAAGCCUGAUGCAGCAACGCCGCGUGAGGGACGACGGCCUUCGGGUUGUAAACCUCUUUUAGUAGGGAAGAAGCGAAAGUGACGGUACCUGCAGAAAAAGCACCGGCUAACUACGUGCCAGCCGCCGCCGUAA
This 484-nucleotide ribosomal RNA is filed under the name uncultured bacterium. RNAcentral describes it as "partial 16S ribosomal RNA". It matches the Rfam family "Bacterial small subunit ribosomal RNA", at positions 28 to 523 of the family's 1533-position model. The record is from RNAcentral.